Long non-coding RNA from Carassius gibelio (silver crucian carp), 807 nucleotides. RefSeq lists it as uncharacterized. The transcript is spliced from 2 exons. NCBI's taxonomy places the organism in Eukaryota, Metazoa, Chordata, Actinopteri, Cypriniformes, Cyprinidae. The record is from RefSeq and is a predicted model, not a curated record.
CUUAAUUGCAUAGAAGACAUUGAAGGUGUGUUUCCCAAGGUGCCGGAUGGUUUCCGCUAGGGUGCGUUUCCACUCGUGCUCGGCAUGAGAAGCAGCUAGUUUGUAAUGCUAAAGAACGGUGUACACAAAAGAGGAACGAGCCCUUCCUCCCAUAAACCAUAUUCCCUACUGUCCUCCAUGCAGAUUUGUGGGAAACACAGGCAGACGAGGAGGAGGAGGAGGCUGAGAGCGGAGAAUCAAUAUGCAGGAGCGGCCGGCCGGUCUUUUGUAUGCUACAUGUGCGGCAGGGCUACGAGAGCCAGAGCCAGGAGUUAGAAAAGCAAAGACAGUGUAACACUGGAAUGCUUCUGGCUUAGGGUGACCCACGGCUCCAAGACUGCCACAAAGCACAACCUCUCCAAAAUCCACCCCUGAUGAAGACAAUGAGGAGGAGGAGGAAGAUGAUGGAAGAUUGAGAGAAAUCAGAAACCCUUUAUCAACCUGAGUGCCAUUCCUCAGCCUUACCCACAACCCCCUUCUACUGACUUGACCUUGAUUUUACAGUCAGAUGUCUCGCCAACAAUGAAAAACUAAUUAGGAGAGCUUUGAAACAUCCCUGCAUGCUUGAUGAUGCAGUCCAGACAAUACAAGGAAUUCAAAACGGAACUUCCACCAGAUAUUUCCAGACCAGGUGGACUCCGCUGACGGCCCUCCGGUUCUCAUACCAGAUGCUGUUUUAUUGUACUUCACAUUAACCCAGCAUUUUAUAAAAGGUGGUUGGGAGGCUCUAGCCAGAUGGAAUAAAGCAAGCAAACAGCAUUCAAAUUA